Molecule: long non-coding RNA, 242 nt
Filed under: Lathyrus oleraceus (garden pea)
Lineage: Eukaryota; Viridiplantae; Streptophyta; Magnoliopsida; Fabales; Fabaceae
Description: Pisum sativum (pea) long non-coding RNA (PSAT_LNC025377)
Source: RNAcentral
UUCAACACAAAUUGGUCAAAAGAGGACUUUUACCAAAUUAAGAUCAUUCAUUCAUUUUGGGAGAUGGAAUAUACAUUCCAUCAAUCCCCUAAAUCCAAUGAUCUUAACCUAGCAAAGUCAAAUCAACCUUGACCAAGGCCCAACAACACAAGUCAAAUUUACAAAGUCAAUUAAAAUGGCUCUACACAAUUAAUUUGGCAUUUAAAGAAUUAAAAAUAAUAAAAAUAUGCAUUAAAUUAAAU